Molecule: ribosomal RNA, 219 nt
Filed under: Triticum aestivum (bread wheat)
Lineage: Eukaryota; Viridiplantae; Streptophyta; Magnoliopsida; Poales; Poaceae
Description: partial small subunit ribosomal RNA
Source: RNAcentral
GACCGUGAAGACAAAAUCUCUUGGCGUUGGACCCCAAACGGCACCUACUCCUCUGCCUCAGCUUACAUGGCCCAGUUCUGUGGAUCCUUCCCCAGGUUCACGCCGUCCAAGAUUUGGGAGGCCCAUGCAGAACCAAAGUGCAAACUCUUCUCCUGGCUGGUCCUCCAUGGGAAAAUCCUCACGACGGACAUGCUUUGCUAUUCGUGGCUGGCCACAUGA